GCAAUAAAGCAAUAAAGCAAUAAAGCAAGAAAGCAAGAAAGUAAGAAAGCAAUAAAGCAAGAAAGUAAGAAAGCAAGAAAGCAAGAAAGAAAUAAAGCAAGGAAAAAUGGAUUAAAUUUGCAAUUUCCUCAAGUUACAUAAAAAGAUUUAAACAAAACUAUAUAAAAUGUUUUUUCCCAUAAGGACUAGUUUAAUUGUAAGGAAUUUUCAUAAUAAUGCAAGCAAAAUAGUUUUGUUAAAAAAUAAAGAUAAAAAUCGAAAUAGAAAAAUUCAAAUAUGGUUAAAAAAAAUUAAUGUGAAGGAAUUGCCUCGUAAGAAGUUUGGAAAUAAAUUAGGGACAGUAGCAAAAGAGUUAUAUUUAAAGUUUUUAUUAAGAUGUAACAAAAAAAAUAAUAUAAAAUAUAAGAACGAAUACGAAGACGAUUAUGAUUACAAGCCUAAUUACAGUAAUAGGAUGUUUUUAUUGGAACAAAAUAAUGAUGAAGUUGUUAAAGAAAGUAAUAAAAAAGGUGAAUAUGAAAAAAAAUAUAAAAAUCUUACAUUUAUUCCUAGAGUUAAUGAUUGUAAAUUAUUAUACAAUAAAAAUGAAAAAAAGUAUGAUCAUAAAAAAGAAGAAUCAGAAAAGUUGUCAUUAAAUAGUGAUAAAAAUGAAAGGGAAUUAAGUACCAUAGAUAAUAGUGAACUAAAUAAAAAUAAUGGGAAUGAAUUAGAUGAUAAGAAUUUAUGGGAUGAUGUAUGUAAUGAGUUAAAAUGUUAUUUACCUUUUUUACAACCAUAUACUAUUACUAUAACAUUAAACUACAUGUCCAAAAUAAAUUAUGAUGAAUAUAAUAUUUAUAAUUUAAUAGCUGAACAUGUUGAUGCAAGGUGGAUAAAAAAUUUUAAUGUAAAAGAUUUAUCUUUAUUAUUAUUGUCUUAUUCUAGAUUACAAACAAAAUAUUAUUCAUUUAUAAAUAUAAUAAGUAGAGAAUUAUUAUAUAAAAUCUGCUAUGGUGAAAUAGGGGAUUUAUCAUUAAUAAUUUAUGCAUAUACCAAAAUGGGUAUUUACGAUUAUGAAGUUUUUCUUCACUUAUGUAAUGAAAUGAAAAAUAGGCUAUAUAAUGGGUUGAAUUUUCAUGCGAUUGUAAAUACUUCUGAGUCAACUACAACUGCCAGUGCAAAUGUCAAUACAAAUCAGACCACAGAUACACCUACUUACACAACUGCUAACACAACUGUUAACACAACUGAGUCUAAUAAUAACCGUGAAAUGGGAGAAAAUAAGAAAAGCUCCUACAUAUGUUUAUUUGUUUAUUGUUUAGGAAAAAUGAACCACUGUGACAAUAACUUGUUUGACAUAAUUUUACAAAAUUUAAAUUUUGAUAAUUUGAAUAUGAUUGAUUUAAGUAAUUUAUCAUAUACCUUUUAUAUUUGCAAUUAUUAUAAUUAUUGUUUUUAUGAAAAUUUAUGUUUAAAAAGUAAUGAAAUUAUUGCCUUAGCUGAAACAUUACAAAAAAUAUCUAUACUUACUUAUCUUUUAAAAUAUCCACAACAUAAAUGUUACCUAUCUAUUUUAUGUAUAUAAAUAAUAUAAAUAAAGAAAUAUACAAAAAACA
This is a long non-coding RNA of Piliocolobus tephrosceles (Ugandan red Colobus), 1595 nucleotides long. The record is from Ensembl. NCBI's taxonomy places the organism in Eukaryota, Metazoa, Chordata, Mammalia, Primates, Cercopithecidae.